UGUGGUUGUUUACAGUUGAGCACUUAUAUUUGUAAUUCAAUGGUGGAUUUGCUUUGGUUUGUUUAUUUUAUAGGAAUUGAGAGCACACACAAGUGAUGAAUACCAGGCAAUAAGAACUAAAGGAGCCAAACCUCGCAAAAGCAAGAGAAAAUCUAAUGAGGGUCGAACGAGGAGAAACGGGGAUGCAGCCGAGUCUAUGGAGAUGGAAACUUAUCCCACUGAAAUGUUGCACUAUUAGCGCACAGCACCCGAGCGACCUGUAUAUCUGCCAACUUACAGAUCAGCUGUGUAUCUUUGUUGAAUGCAUUUAUGUGUCUUUUUUGGUAUUUGUUACUUUCCCCAACCUGUAUUUUGUAGUCUUGCAUAUACUA
RNAcentral lists this long non-coding RNA (371 nucleotides) under Carassius auratus (goldfish). RNAcentral's name for it is "lncRNA (ENSCARG00000005158.1)". The record is from RNAcentral. Lineage: Eukaryota; Metazoa; Chordata; Actinopteri; Cypriniformes; Cyprinidae.